This 124-nucleotide unclassified non-coding RNA is filed under the name uncultured Bacillota bacterium. Its description in RNAcentral is "uncultured Firmicutes bacterium partial contains 16S ribosomal RNA, 16S-23S ribosomal RNA intergenic spacer, and 23S ribosomal RNA". The record is from RNAcentral. Lineage: Bacteria; Bacillati; Bacillota.
CUGGAUCACCUCCUUUCUAUGGAGCUUUAAGCCACUGUUCAGUUUUGGGAGGUCAAGAGACCUUUCAGGACCUUGACAACUGCACAAUAAAGAUCAAGCUAGUAAGGGCGCAUGGUGGAUGCCU